Molecule: ribosomal RNA, 440 nt
Filed under: Brevibacterium sp. CR23
Lineage: Bacteria; Bacillati; Actinomycetota; Actinomycetes; Micrococcales; Brevibacteriaceae
Description: bacterial SSU rRNA
Rfam family: Bacterial small subunit ribosomal RNA
Source: RNAcentral
CUGAUGCAGCGACGCAGCGUGCGGGAUGACGGCCUUCGGGUUGUAAACCGCUUUCAGCAGGGAAGAAGCGAAAGUGACGGUACCUGCAGAAGAAGUACCGGCUAACUACGUGCCAGCAGCCGCGGUAAUACGUAGGGUACGAGCGUUGUCCGGAAUUAUUGGGCGUAAAGAGCUCGUAGGUGGUUGGUCACGUCUGCUGUGGAAACGCAACGCUUAACGUUGCGCGUGCAGUGGGUACGGGCUGACUAGAGUGCAGUAGGGGAGUCUGGAAUUCCUGGUGUAGCGGUGAAAUGCGCACAUAUCAGGAGGAACACCGGUGGCGAAGGCGGGACUCUGGGCUGUAACUGACACUGAGGAGCGAAAGCAUGGGGAGCGAACAGGAUUAGAUACCCUGGUAGUCCAUGCCGUAAACGUUGGGCACUAGGUGUGGGGGACAUUCC